Molecule: ribosomal RNA, 394 nt
Filed under: Stramenopiles sp. MAST-1A
Lineage: Eukaryota
Description: partial small subunit ribosomal RNA
Rfam family: Eukaryotic small subunit ribosomal RNA
Source: RNAcentral
AUUCCAGCUCCAAUAGCGUAUAUUAAAGUUGUUGCAGUUAAAAAGCUCGUAGUUGGAUUUCUGGCUGGAGCGAUCGGUCCGCCCCGCAAGGGGUGUGUACUAGCGUCGUCUCCGACCAUCCUUGUGGGAACUGUGCGGCCGUUAACUCGGUUGUAUAUGGGAACACAUCGUUUACUGUGAAAAAAUUAGAGUGUUUAAAGCAGGCUUAAGCCGUUGAAUACAUUAGCAUGGAAUAAUAAGAUAAGACUUGGGUCAUUAUUUUGUUGGUUUGCGGAUCGAGGUAAUGAUUAAUAGGGAUAGUUGGGGGUAUUCAUAUUUAAUUGUCAGAGGUGGAAUUCUUGGAUUUAUGAAAGAUGAACUUAGGCGAAAGCAUUUACCAAGGAUGUUUUCAUCA